UGCCUAACACAUGCAAGUCGAACGGGGCCCGCAAGGGUUCAGUGGCGAACGGGUGCGUAACACGUGAAGAACUUGUCCAUCGGCGGGGGAUAGCCGGCCCAACGGCCGGGUAAUACCGCGUACGCCGUCUGGAGCGCAUGCUCUGGCCGGGAAAGCAGCAAUGCACCGAUGGAGAGCUUCGCGGCCUAUCAGCUAGUUGGCGGGGUAAUGGCCCACCAAGGCGACGACGGGUAGCUGGUCUGAGAGGAUGACCAGCCACAUUGGGACUGAGACACGGCCCAGACUCCUACGGGAGGCAGCAGUGGGGAAUAUUGCGCAAUGGGCGAAAGCCUGACGCAGCGACGCCGCGUGUGGGAUGACGGCCUUCGGGUUGUAAACCACUGUCGCGAGGGACGAAACAAAUGACGGUACCUCGAAAGGAAGCACCGGCUAACUCUGUGCCAGCAGCCGCGGUAAUACAGAAGGUGCGAGCGUUGUCCGGAAUUACUGGGCGUAAAGGGCGCGU
This 505-nucleotide ribosomal RNA is filed under the name uncultured bacterium. RNAcentral's name for it is "bacterial SSU rRNA". It matches the Rfam family "Bacterial small subunit ribosomal RNA", at positions 45 to 572 of the family's 1533-position model. The record is from RNAcentral.